Molecule: ribosomal RNA, 574 nt
Filed under: Neonectria sp. C_BESC_184x
Lineage: Eukaryota; Fungi; Ascomycota; Sordariomycetes; Hypocreales; Nectriaceae
Description: eukaryotic LSU rRNA
Rfam family: Eukaryotic large subunit ribosomal RNA
Source: RNAcentral
ACCUCGGAUCAGGUAGGAAUACCCGCUGAACUUAAGCAUAUCAAUAAGCGGAGGAAAAGAAACCAACAGGGAUUGCCCUAGUAACGGCGAGUGAAGCGGCAACAGCUCAAAUUUGAAAUCUGGCCUUCGGGUCCGAGUUGUAAUUUGUAGAGGAUGCUUUUGGUGAGGUACCUUCCGAGUUCCCUGGAACGGGACGCCAUAGAGGGUGAGAGCCCCGUCUGGUUGGAUACCGAUCCUCUGUAAAGCUCCUUCGACGAGUCGAGUAGUUUGGGAAUGCUGCUCUAAAUGGGAGGUAUAUGUCUUCUAAAGCUAAAUAUUGGCCAGAGACCGAUAGCGCACAAGUAGAGUGAUCGAAAGAUGAAAAGCACUUUGAAAAGAGAGUUAAAAAGUACGUGAAAUUGUUGAAAGGGAAGCGCUCAUGACCAGACUUGGGCUUGGUUGAUCAUCCAGGGUUCUCCCUGGUGCACUCUUCCAGCCCAGGCCAGCAUCAGUUCGCUGUGGGGGAUAAAGGCUUCGGGAAUGUGGCUCCUCCGGGAGUGUUAUAGCCCGCUGCGUAAUACCCUGUGGUGGACNG